RNAcentral lists this long non-coding RNA (443 nucleotides) under Theobroma cacao (cacao). RNAcentral's name for it is "long non-coding RNA (TCAC_LNC001662)". Lineage: Eukaryota; Viridiplantae; Streptophyta; Magnoliopsida; Malvales; Malvaceae. The record is from RNAcentral.
GUGUAUUCAGCCUUGAGAGGCUAGGUUGCGAUAAAUUGCCAUGUCAUGCUAGAAUGAAUUUUAUUGAUUGGUGGAUUAUAUAUUAAUUAUUUACUGCAGAGGGGGUUCCGUGGACCAGCCUAUUAGAGGGGCACGGUAAACUCCAUUAUAUUAUUACCUCGAACGGAGAGGCGCGUAGGGUAUCUCCUAGGGUAAAGCUUAGGGUUCACUUCACGCCAAACCACCACGUGAAGGGGAACUUAGCCAACGCCAAGGAACGACUGUAUUUUUCUCAAACUAAAAAUAUAUUUUAAGUGUAUACAAAAAUUUUAACAGCCUUGACGGACUCGGUUGGAUGCCUUGCGUAAGGUAUCACCGAGUAUGAGUUUUGGCACGAGCUAAAGUUUUAAGAAAUUCAUAAACCAAGUUGAUUACUCGAUUUUUAUGGAUUGAUUUUAUUUGGU